RNAcentral lists this ribosomal RNA (253 nucleotides) under uncultured bacterium. Its description in RNAcentral is "partial 16S ribosomal RNA". It matches the Rfam family "Bacterial small subunit ribosomal RNA", at positions 524 to 776 of the family's 1533-position model. The record is from RNAcentral.
UACGUAGGGUGCAAGCGUUGUCCGGAAUUAUUGGGCGUAAAGAGCUCGUAGGCGGUCUGUCGCGUCUGCUGUGAAAAUUCAGGGCUUAACCCUGAGCUUGCAGUGGGUACGGGCAGACUAGAGUUCGGUAGGGGAGACUGGAAUUCCUGGUGUAGCGGUGAAAUGCGCAGAUAUCAGGAGGAACACCGGUGGCGAAGGCGGGUCUCUGGGCCGAAACUGACGCUGAGGAGCGAAAGCGUGGGGAGCAAACAGG